RNAcentral lists this ribosomal RNA (443 nucleotides) under uncultured bacterium. Its description in RNAcentral is "bacterial SSU rRNA". It matches the Rfam family "Bacterial small subunit ribosomal RNA", at positions 337 to 796 of the family's 1533-position model. The record is from RNAcentral.
UUCUACGGGAGGCAGCAGUGGGGAAUUUUCCGCAAUGGACGAAAGUCUGACGGAGCAACGCCGCGUGAGUGAAGAAGGUUUUAGGAUCGUAAAGCUCUGCUGCUGGGGACAAGAAAAGGAUGGUACCCAGUGAGGAAGCCACGGCUAACUACGUGCCAGCAGCCGCGGUAAUACGUAGGUGGCGAGCGUUGUCCGGAAUGAUUGGGCGUAAAGGGAGCGCAGGCGGUUUAUCAAGUCUCACUUUAAAAAAUGGGGCUUAACUCCAUAAUGGGUGGGAAACUGAUAGACUUGAGAGCAGGAGAGGGAAGCGGAACUCCUAGUGUAGCGGUGAAAUGCGUAGAUAUUAGGAAGAACACCAGUGGCGAAGGCGGCUUUCUGGACUGCAACUGACGCUGAGGCUCGAAAGCCAGGGGAGCGAACAGGAUUAGAUACCCUGGUAGUCC